CAGUAAACGCGCUUACACGAGCGAGAAACGGAGGUGUGUGACAAGAUCUCCCUAUUCUGCGCCUGGACGUCCAAACCUUGAAGAGAAACAAAGUCAUAGUAAAAUACAUUUUAAAAAUCAAGACAAGGAAAGGGAGACCGUUUCAAGGAGGAAUGCUAACGGAUCACUUUGCACCGGCAAACGCUCACACUACUCUGAUCAAUUUGUAAUAAUUCAGCCGCCGCUUUCACACGGUGAAGGCAAUGCGUAAAGUUGCAUUCAGAAGUUGGUGAAAGUUGUCAUCCUGGUGAGCAGAUAAUAGGACGGAGAUGUUCAGUCCAUUAUGGGGUUUCUAAUGUGGAUGUAGAAUAGAAAUCUUGGAAGAGUCUCCGGAUGACCGACGCAUUUUGGAUGUUACCUUUCUUUGGGGCUAUUCUCUGAGAUUCCUUAGAGGCGGUUGCAAUACAAAACAAUAAAAAAGGAUUCCUCUCAGGUGGCACAUCUGCCAUGUUUGGAUGGAUUAGAUUUUUACUAUAACCAAGAUUAUCAAGAAAUCUUUUUUGUUGUUGUGGUUUUUCUUUAUUAUUGUGUCUGAUCCAAACGACAGCUGAAAUUUUAGUACAACUGUCCAACUCACCUUCGGAAUUACAAUCAUGAACAUUGGCAGUUUUGUACAAUUAUUAUUUGCAGCGCUUCUUCAGCUUCAUUUGUAUGCAGUUAAGACAGCCCACAUACCCAAGAACGGGGAGAAGAGUAAAAAUGACGUGGUCCCGUUCAUGGACGUGUAUAACAAGAGCAUGUGUCGGACACGGGAGAUGCUGGUGGACAUCUUCCAGGAGUAUCCAGAUGAGAUUGAGCACACCUACAUCCCCUCGUGCGUGGUGCUCAUGCGCUGCGCCGGAUGCUGCAACGACGAGGCGCUCGAGUGUGUCCCCACGGAAACAAAAAAUGUUACCAUGGAGGUAAUACAAGUGAAACAGAGAGUAUCGCAGCAUAAUUUUCAGUUAAGUUUCACAGAACAUCGAAAGUGUGAAUGCAGACCAAAGCCAGAAGUUAAGGCAAAGAAAGAAAAGGGCAAUGACCAAAAGAGAAAGAGAAAGAAAGAGAGAGACACUGGCACGAUGAGGUCUGAGGCCUAUGCCAGCGCCUCUUCUGUGGCGUGUCUGCACAUGGGCACUAUGUCUCUCUUGACGGUUGGCUUGAUUUUGGAGGAACUUGUUUGUAUCUUGUAAAAUGCAAACCUCUUUUUGUUUGGCAUGAGGAGGCUCCAUUUUUUUAAAGAAACCUUUUUUUGUCUGGCGUAUGCACCACUUAAGUCCGUGGCGAGGGCAGUAAUGUGAGUAACGUGAGUGAGAACUGUCAGGUAAUGAUGAUGAUGUCUGUAUGAAGCAUGGCUGUCUACCACCCCCUCACUAAUCCAUGGCAGCAGGGUCGAUGCCAUGUUGAGGCUACUUGCUGCUAGGAGUUUGUUCUCUGUUUCUCUGUUGCCUUUUGUUUUAGCAGACAGGUGGAUGAACCAACACUAUUGUCUUAAAUUUCUACCACAAUAGUGCCAAUUGGUUUGGUUACUUUAAGUACAGACAGGCUUGGCUCAGUUUAUGUUUGAUAAGAGUUAUUGUCACCUUGAGUGGUAACCCCGAAAAGGGCUGCUUUGUUCAUGCUUUUAGACGGGAAGGUCUUGAACGUGACGCAGACGUGAUCUGACCUCACAGAGCUAGUAGAAAUACUGCCAACUGAGUUGUCUGUAACAAAGCGUAGCUUCAUCUCGUCUAGUGCAUCACAGCACUCCCCUGUCUCUGUCAUUGUUUUGUCUCACAUGUUCACCUCCAUAAAAGAUACUGCAUCUUUAAGCACCAGCGAUGGCAUCUACUUUGACUUUAAACUAGGCUAGUGAAAAUAAUACGAUUAGAUUGUCUUUGAUCUGUAUUUUAUAAUCCUUACAUUGUGCUUGAGCCUGCGCUUACUCAGCCAAGCCAUCAUUCUAAUGUCAUCCUAACAUCCCAUUAAUUUGUGGCAAUCAGGUGAGCAUGUCUGUAGGGUAAUUGUAGUGGGAAAUAUAGGCAGAUUUAGGGAGGGAUGGUUUUUAAAGAUGGCUGCUCCCUUGUGAGCAUGUCAUUGGAUGGAUCGGGAAGCAAAUGCUAUGUGUUCUUUGUUUCUGCUGUGGACUUUCCCUUAUCACAUGCACCUGUUUUGUGUGUCUGUGUGUGUGGUUGUUAGUGUGUAUGUGUGUGUGUGUCUACAUGAUCAUGGGUGUAUAAGUGCAAAUGUUCUCAUUCAAUGUUGCUUUUCAUAUACCCAAUCACACAUGUGCUUGUCAUGCCAUUAGAGAGGAUGAAUGAAAGAGUGUGAGUGUAUGCAGGCAUGAUGAGGCACGUGUGUAGAAAAGUCUUUACAUGUGCUCUCUUUCUAACCCGAUCACAAUGCUCCACAACCUCAACCUCACAACCUUCACACCACCCAGCGGCUGCAGAAGUAUUGAGCUAAUGUUGCUCAAAUGUUCGUCCAAUGUUGGUGUGUUGGGGCGGGGGCUCUAUAGCUGGAUACGCUCUAUAGCUUAGACCUCUCUCUCUCUCUCUCUCUCCCUUUUUGCUUCCCUUGCAGCCACUGUGAGCCUUGCUCAGAGAGAAGAAAGCGCUUGUUUGUGCAGGACCCUCUCACCUGUAAAUGUUCCUGCAAAUUCACACAAUUAGACUGCAAGUCAAGACAACUUGAGUUAAACGAAAGAACUUGCAGAUGUGACAAACCAAGGAGAUGAGAUGAGAUGAGGAGAGGGAGAGUGGGACAAUGAAAUGAAGGAAUAUUUUCUUGGCACAGCACUUUGAAACCUGAGGACGCAUUCCCUGGAUGGACAGAAAAUUACAACGCAAGAAAGAAUGAGCAAUCGAGAACGAUGGAGAGAGACUGAGAUAACAACAUGCUGUUGUAUAUUUCUAAGAUAUAUAUAUAUAUAUAUAAAUAUAUAUUCUAAAAGGACAAUGACAAUGUGUAUUGCUGCUAUGAAAAAUGAAACAUUAUAAAGUGAACGAAUGCGCCACUGUCUGGCGUGUGAAUUGGACAAAUGUUUAGUUGCCAGGGUGUUUGGGCCUGAACGUGGAUAGGACUGAGAGUUUGUCAGAAUACAUUUUAUUUUAUUUAACACUUCACUGGAUCUUGGUCUGCUGUGGAUAUGAGUAUCUUAAAUAUAUCUAUAUAAAAACUAAGCGAAAUUGUGACCAUAACUUCACUGAGAGGUGCAACGGGAACAUGUUUCUCCUUGGGCCUCUGAAGGUCUAGAGAACUGUCAGAAAGCAGAACUACUUCCUCUACGGGGUGAAGUUUUUGUCACCACUGUAUCGACUAACACCAGAUAGGACUCGGUGUGAGAAUACUUCUAAAGGGAUAUUAAAUGUAGGUAUAUAUGGAGACGAGAGAAUACUGAACUUGAUUCCAUCUUCCGCCAAGGAACAGUGGCAUUUAACUCACCACUGUCAAAAUCAAUGAUCUCUAUUUGCUUUGUUUAAUGUCUUCAUUUGUUUUCCAAAGAUAUAAUUGCACACACACAUUAAAGAAUAGUCCAUUAUAGAAAAAAUAAUGAUCUGUAUAUACUUACCUAAUAUCCCUUUGUCUAGUACACUACAUCUAAUUUAUAAUGCUAGAAUAUUUUCAGUAUUCUGUGCAUUUAAUUUAUAUAUUUAUAUACAGUGUUAUGGUUGAUAUUGAUUUUACUUCUUCACUUGGCAAUGUUAUCACCAAUCUGUUUGGCCAUGGAAAACAUUGAAAACUGUAGGCAUAUUUCUUCUUUUUUUUUAAAGAAGGAACAAAAGAACAGAAAGAUAAAACUUCAACAUUCCUGAAAAUGAGACAUUGUAUGUUUUGUUGGGCUAGAGGGGCCGGGAGCAUGUGUCUUGAUUUUGUUACAAACAAACCCCGCCACAAACAUGUUUGUAAAAAGACGCACAGCCAACGUUGCAGUUUUAAGCUCGAGUCGGGACAUGUGUUUUUGUACUUGAGUGCCCGAAGACACGUCAUGAGGAGGACUGAGGGCGUCUCACUGACCUUGGUCAUCUUGGGCAAACUCCACAGUGAGAGACUGAGACUCUGGCCAGCCCAGUUUAGCCAGAACAGGACUUGGCAUAGUGGGGAACCAGGAGCAGUAGAAGGAGAUGAUGCUCUCCACCCUUUUAUGAAAAAAAGAAACAUUCUAUAUGUAUUUCAGUGUCAGAAAUACUUUUUUGUUUGUUGUAUCAUGUACAGACACAUUUUUAGUAUAUUUUCACAUUAAUAUAUUUAUUGGUGCUGUAAAAUUAUCCAUUUUACAAUAGUAACAUCAUUUUUUGUUUUUAGUGUAACUAUUAACUAUAUUUAUUUAGAAAAUAUAUUGUUUUUUAUUAAACAGAAAAUGCAGAUCUC
This is an RNA transcript of Oncorhynchus tshawytscha (Chinook salmon), 4368 nucleotides long. It is a transcript of the gene named vascular endothelial growth factor A-A, with no coding region annotated. The transcript has 7 exons. The record is from RefSeq and is a predicted model, not a curated record. Lineage: Eukaryota; Metazoa; Chordata; Actinopteri; Salmoniformes; Salmonidae.